CACUUAGCUCUGUAAUGAAAAAUGACAAAAACAUGCGAGAAAUCUGCUGAAUGCAAAAAUUUUAAUAAAAAACAGCAAUAGCCAUCUCAAAAAAUUUAUCAGGCGACCGAAAUUAUAAAACUGGUUGUUUUCAGUUCGGCAACCGACCAAAAGUCCCAGUUUACAUCAUAUAUGGUAGAGUUGUUUGGUGCAUCAUGAUAACUGAACUUUUAAUCAACCGUGAGACCGUAAGAACCGUAAUUUAAUCCUGAGACUCUUGACAAAACCUGGAGAGUUGGAAGGUCUGCAUAUUUUAGAGAACCCUUGUUUUCAAUUCGUUUGGAAUGAAAAAUAAAGAAUUUGCUAAAUUAAAUAUUAACACAUGUUAAGAAAUCUGAAUUUUCAGUACAAUAAAGAAUUUAUUAACAAGUCGACGUAUUUGAAGAAACGGUUUGGGUAGAAAACGUGUUUCGAUUUUUCAAAAUACGUGCAGCUAGUUUUGAUAAAUCUAAACAAUUCUGUGUCUAAUAUUUAGUAUUUUAUUUUAGUCAUCGUGACAAUAUCAGUUUAAAUAAUUUGUAAAAAGAUUUUUUUUUACCUUUUUUUUUUCCGUAGAUUUUCUUAUUAUUAGAUUAAAGAGAGAAUAAACAGCAUUAUUUUUUUAAACUUUUUAACUAUUGAAGAAAUGUAGCUG
Long non-coding RNA from Hydra vulgaris (swiftwater hydra), 673 nucleotides. RefSeq lists it as uncharacterized. NCBI's taxonomy places the organism in Eukaryota, Metazoa, Cnidaria, Hydrozoa, Anthoathecata, Hydridae. The record is from RefSeq and is a predicted model, not a curated record.